Molecule: ribosomal RNA, 253 nt
Filed under: uncultured bacterium
Lineage: Bacteria
Description: partial 16S ribosomal RNA
Rfam family: Bacterial small subunit ribosomal RNA
Source: RNAcentral
UACGUAGGGUGCAAGCGUUAAUCGGAAUUACUGGGCGUAAAGCGUGCGCAGGCGGUGAUGUAAGACAGGUGUGAAAUCCCCGGGCUUAACCUGGGAAUGGCGUUUGGGACUGGAAGUCUGGAGUGCGGCAGAGGAGACUGGAAUUCCUGGUGUAGCAGUGAAAUGCGUAGAUAUCAGGAGGAACACCGAUGGCGAAGGCAGGUCUCUGGGCUGACACUGACGCUCAUGCACGAAAGCGUGGGGAGCAAACAGG